Molecule: ribosomal RNA, 503 nt
Filed under: uncultured bacterium
Lineage: Bacteria
Description: bacterial SSU rRNA
Rfam family: Bacterial small subunit ribosomal RNA
Source: RNAcentral
GACGAACGCUGGCGGCGUGCCUAACACAUGCAAGUCGAGCGGGGUUGAGGCGAGAGGUAACUCGAACUUCUACCUAGCGGCGGACGGGUGAGUAACACGUAGGAAUCUACCCUUAAGACGGGGACAACCCAGGGAAACUUGGGCUAAUACCGGAUGAGAGUGCGAGAGAUUGCAUUUAAAAGGAUGGCGAAAGUUGUCGCUUAGGGAUGAGCCUGCGGUCUAUUAGUUAGUUGGUGAGGUAAGAGCUCACCAAGGCGAUGAUAGAUAGGCGGCCUUAACGGGUGGUCGCCCACACUGGGAUUGAGAUACGGCCCAGACUCCUACGGGAGGCAGCAGUCGAGAAUAGUCUACAAUGGCCGGAAGGCUGAUAGUGCGACGCCGCGUGAACGAGGGAGCCCUUCGGGGUGUAAAGUUCUUUUCUAUACGAGCAGUGCUAUAUAUAUGGAUAGUAUAUAUAGAGGGAUAGUAGUAUAGGAAUAAGCAACGGCUAACUCCGUGCCAGC